This 2117-nucleotide transfer RNA is filed under the name Polistes fuscatus (common paper wasp). RNAcentral describes it as "uncharacterized LOC122518311, transcript variant X1". Lineage: Eukaryota; Metazoa; Arthropoda; Insecta; Hymenoptera; Vespidae. The record is from RNAcentral.
UUAAGUUUCUCUUGACUUUAUAAAUCGAUUCAAAUAUUAUCGAAUCAAAGUUCAAGACGAAGUUAGUUGCACAUGUCUUUAGAUGACAAAUAAUUUCACAUACUUUCGAUUAUCGAAUUGAUCACACAAGAUUUCUCCAGAAAAAGAAUAUGAAUAUAUAUUUUUGAAGAAGUUAAAAAAAUAACUCGUUCUAAGUUUCUUAUCUUGAAGGUCAAAUAAGGCAAAUAAAGUAUAACAGCGAGUUGAUAUUUUUCUUCGUUUGUCUUCACUAUUUGCGUUAUAUUUAUCGAUUUUUUGUCGCGUUCAAAUUUUUUGGAUUAAUCUCAAUUAAUAAUAAUAAUAAUAAUUAUUGGAUUCUCUUACUUUGAUCUUCACGUAGGAAUGAGUUCCAAGAUUGUUGUUGACAAGACAUGGCGGUGGUUUAUCUCUCUGUUCUAAUAUGAAAAACUUUUUAGGAUCCCAAGCCCAUUUCAACAAUCUUUUUACUAUCAGAUAGAGACCAUAGACGAAGGAUAAGAAAUGUAAUUUGAUGAUUUCCCAUGUUGAUAUGUGUACGAUCCUGUCUGCGAUCAUUAUAGCAGUCUAAGCAAAAAUAAUUAAGAAGAAUCCUACUUCAACUUCCUUCCUUUUGAGUAAAAGUUGGAUUUUCAAAUGGAUCAUAUUCGAUGCGAUGACCGGAAAUAUUCUACAUUACCGACGUUGUCUCAUCAAUAACUACUAUGAUCUUAUGUAAAUUAUGGAAAAUAAUACCAAAAAUUUGGCAGCGGUGGGAUUCGAACCCACGCCUCCGAAGAGACUGGUGCCUUAAACCAGCGCCUUAGACCGCUCGGCCACGCUACCUUGUUUGAAUUCUACAAUAUGCGCACACACAGACACACGCACAAGUGAUUAGCAGAUCAAGCGGGCCUUCACAUAAUUCAGCAUAAGAUAAACGUGACAACGUUUGCAAUCGAUAGGUGCAAUUAUCAAACAGUUUCUAUUCAUUCAUUCUAAGGAGAGAAAACAAUUAUUAGACAUAAAUCAUGCUGAAAAUGAUAGGAGAGUUUCUAACGUUGACAUCUGCAUAGAUUUAUUCCUGCUUUCAUCGAUAACGCACGUGUAGAGAUAUGGUGUCAAUUAAUCGUAUUCAAAUCAAAACACAGAGUCGUCAAGCGAGAUGGUUAGUGAUGUUAGUGGAUGCUGCAAGUCGCAGGAAAGCACGAAGCGAGGAUGCAUCCCCGCGGUGAGAUGAAUAUUUUAUUGUGUCCAUUAUAAAGAAGACUUCGUUAUUACGUAUGGUAGUUACAUAGAUACAAAUUUGUCAAGUUCGAAGAUACCAUCGUUGGAAUUUUUCUCCCACACUUGAAAACCUUUUCUAGAUCCGAAAGAUUGCAUCCGACAAUACUUAGGAAGAAAUUUCGAUGACAGAUAACGUCAAUGCGGGUACCGUUGAAGUUUACCAACGAGAUAAAUCAUUUUGAGUAUUACGAUCAUCAGCUGCUAUUUUUGAGGGUGUUUCUUUGUUAAGUUUCUAUCCAGACUUAAGAGAUUACUUUUCCAGUAUUCGCCCAGAACAGUUUUAAUCAGAGUAUAAUAGUUCAUCGUAAAGCUGGAUUAUGCGAGUCGAUAUAUAUAUAGGUAUAGAUCGACUUUUCAAACACAAGUACGCCGACGUUCUUUGGAUCUACUUCGCUUUUGUCGGACCGAGUAUUGCGCCUCUCCAUUUUGUCAUCCCCUAGUGGAGUUUCAAUGUUGUAACCAUGGAGACGUCGCGUUUCCGCAAGGGGAACGUAUAAGGGGUGUCGAGCGUACGUAGGCAAGUAUGGUGUGUCUGCCAUUGUUAAAAUUCGUUCGUGUAUUGCGUGUCCAAUAUCGAUAAUGAAAAUACGAUAUUGAAUGAAAGUACGAUGAAAUUGCGAUCGUUUAAUGGUAUCAUUUGAUAAUGUUUCAACAAAAAAAAAACAAAAAACAAAAAAGAAAAAAGGAAAAUAAAAAAUUAUAUAAGAAGAAAAAAUAUUUUGUCGAAAAAUUCGCACAUUCGCGCGUAUUUAUUUGUCAAAUAGACAAAAUAUAAAUUGCUAUGAGCGAUAGAGAAUAACGGUGAAAUAUUUCACACUAUGAGCUAACUAAUUUGAUCC